UUAACCAGGUUUUCCGAAGGAAAAAACUGGUUAUUAGAUUGGCGAAUGCGGGCGGGCUGGCUGGCUGGCUGGCUGGCGGGCUGGCUGGCGGGCUGGCGGGCUGGCGGAAUAAGCUUGUCCGGGCCAUAACUAUGUCGUUCAUUGUCAGAUUUUAAAAUCAUUUGGCACAUUUGUUCACCAUCAUUGGACGGUGUGUCGCGCGAAAUAAUUACGUCGAUAUCUCCAAGGUCAAGGUCACACUUUGAGUUCAAAGGUCAAAAAUGGCCAUAAAUGAGCUUGUCCUGGCCAUAACUAUGUCAUUCAUUGUGAGAUUUUAAAAUCAUUUGGCACAUUUGUUCACCAUCAUGGGACGGUGUGUCCCACGAAAGAAUCACGUCAAUAUCUCCAAUGUCAAGGUCGCCACGACUAAAAAUAGAUUUAAAAAAAAAAAAAUUACAAAGGGGGUUAAUUUUUUUUGGUCAUUUCAAAA
This is a long non-coding RNA of Dreissena polymorpha, 469 nucleotides long. RefSeq lists it as uncharacterized. The record is from RefSeq and is a predicted model, not a curated record. The transcript is spliced from 2 exons. NCBI's taxonomy places the organism in Eukaryota, Metazoa, Mollusca, Bivalvia, Myida, Dreissenidae.